Molecule: long non-coding RNA, 957 nt
Filed under: Nicotiana benthamiana
Lineage: Eukaryota; Viridiplantae; Streptophyta; Magnoliopsida; Solanales; Solanaceae
Description: long non-coding RNA (NBEN_LNC040542)
Source: RNAcentral
ACAAUCAACCACGUACAUAUGCUACUGCUUUUUUUCAUGACCGAUUAGUAGAGUUCAAUUUAAAGAUAUAUAAAGAAUCCAACUUGCAUACAUAUAUUGAGCCACCACUGCUUAUUAAUUAACCCUUCAAUCCAUAUGUUCAUAGAAUAUCUACGAGCAAUAGGCUUUUGAUGCAUGUGGUUGUCCCACAAAAAUAAUAUGUUGUGUGUACAGUGCUAAUCUCAUAAACACUUCCAAUUCAUUCUAAUGCCUACUAAUACAUUUUGUUAAAAAUUAUUAAAAUCUGAAAUUUUGAAUUAUAUGUAUACCACUUCCAUUCAUAACAAAUAAAUUAAAUGAUAAACAUUAUGAACACACAAAUUUCUCGAUAGAGAACACCUUAGAUAUCAAGCAGAGAGACACGAUAAUGCUCAUAAACAGGGAGCUCACUGGCAAUUUAGCAUAUCGGCACACCCCUAUGAAUCCAUGGGGUGGAAGAUGAGGGGGUGAAGGGUUGCGGUGAAGGAUAAGAUACCGAAAAUAGGGUAGUAAAGAAGGUUUCUGAUGAUUAAUUAUUUUACUUGAUAGACUUCAUUCAUCCCCUGCUGCCGCCUGCCGCCUGCCGCCUGCCGCCUGCCGCCUGCCGCCUGCCGCCUUAGUUCUCAACCUGUUGAAGAUGAAUAAAGCAACUAUAUAUUUGAACUCCUUGACAUUCUCAUGAGCUGCAGGUGCAUUGAUGAUCCUAAGGCGUUAAUUUUCUCUACUAAUAAUUGUCUGUCUCUUCAUUUGCUCCAAGGCUUAGGUUAUCCGAACAUAUUUGUGUCUAACUGUUCAAGUCUACUUAUUAAUGCUUAGGUUAUUCAACUUAUUUAUGUGUAACUGUUCAAUAGUAUGAAAACGGAUAGGAGUGAAAGAGACUCAGACUACAAUAUUAUGGUGAUUGUUAGGAAUAUUUCUUGUGCACUAUUUACGUUUUUG